UAAAGGUGAGGAGAUAUCUUUGCGCCUUAGAACUGAUGACCUGAAGGGAUUCAGAAAAUACCAAAGCAUUAAAAAGACUCUUUUACAUGAACUUGUAAGCAUCUUUAUCAAUUCAAGCUUCCAUUUUUUAUAAAAGGGUGCUUUCUUUUUUACUAAAAAACUCUUCUUUCUUUCAGGCUCAUAUGGUUUUCUCUGAACAUGAUGCUAAAUUCUAUGCUCUUGAUAAACAGGUAACAACAAAAAAAAAAAAUCAAACUUUGAAUCAAAAUUCAAAACCCUUUUUGCUAAUCUUGUUUCACUAUGAACAGCUCAACCUUGAGGCCAAUUCUCUAGACUGGACAAGAUCCACGGGUCACACCUUAAGUGGGUCCCACACAAAUCAACAAUAUGAACCAAAUUUCCAUGUUGAAAAUCAUAAAUUUUCCCAUAAACUUGGAGGAAACUCAUCAAACAGUUCAUUAGCAAGUGCUCGAGCAUCAUCAGUUGCUGCUGCUUAUAAUCGUUUAGUAAUCACAUCCAUCAAUCCAUCUGAAUCCCAUCAAGAACCAGAUCCUGAUGAUUCUAUGGAACUUAUUGAGCAAAAUUACGAACCUGACCCUGAUGCUUCUAUUGAUAUCAUUGAACAAAAUUAUGAACCUGACCCUGAUGCUUCUAUUGAUAUCAUUGAACAAAAUUACGAACCUGACCCUGAUGCUUCUAUUGCUAUCAUUGAACAAAAUUACGAACCUGACCCUGAUGAAAAUGAAGUGGUUCAAAAACAAGAACCUGAUCCAGAUGAUAGUGUAAAUGAACCUAUGGAGUCUGAAAUCAGAAUUACUUGUGAAAAAAUUGAGGGGAAUUUUAAUUUUGUUUCUGAAAAUGAAAUGAAGAUGGAAAGCAAUGAAUUUGAGCCAGAUCCUGAUGAUGAAGAGCUUCAAAGAAUUCAAGAUCCUGUAAUGGUGGCAUGUAAUCGAUUGAAAAAGUCGAUUCAG
Molecule: long non-coding RNA, 971 nt
Filed under: Lactuca sativa (garden lettuce)
Lineage: Eukaryota; Viridiplantae; Streptophyta; Magnoliopsida; Asterales; Asteraceae
Description: long non-coding RNA (LSAT_LNC007600)
Source: RNAcentral